Molecule: long non-coding RNA, 1302 nt
Organism: Musa acuminata AAA Group (dessert banana)
Lineage: Eukaryota; Viridiplantae; Streptophyta; Magnoliopsida; Zingiberales; Musaceae
Exons: 6
Source: RefSeq, a predicted model, not a curated record
GUCCUUCCUCGCCUUGCACGUCACGAGCGACUCCGGAAGUCCAAAGCCCUUCCGUGUAUGGGGACGGGGAGAUAGCCGCCUGAGGCGUUUCGGCGUCUGACUCCCUCAUCGUCGAGGAGGGCGGAGAUCGCGCUCUAGUGGGAUGUUGGUAUAUUUGUAUCCUUUUGUUCUACCUCCACAAUGCCAACGAAAGUAAAUCUUGAUCUGCCUGUUCUUCUUGGUCGCUGAAACAAACCGCCUUAAUCCUGGCCGUGGUGGUGACUUCUUUAAAUGAAAAAGGGUGAAGCCCUUUUGUGCGUGUUUUCUGAAAAUGGCACUUGAGUUCGAGGUGAUAGGAAAAUUCAACAGAGCCCGUGCAGCAUGAUUAACGCUUCCUCACUUUUUAUGCCUGUUGGAACUCAAGCCACUCACCUGCGGACUGCUCGUUUCAUCGCAGCUCUUAUUCCUGAGGUUUGUAGAAAUUAUACACGAGUGACGAGCCUACUUACACUGCAUUGUGACGAAAGAUCCAAUGGGUUCCCAGCUAGUGUCUUAUCAUAAUUUGUCAUAUAUGAUGAGGGUAAAAUCUCUAGCUUGUGUCGAAGCUGACAUGUCCUUAUAAAGAAUUACCAGGUUUAUCCGCAUUGAUCCUUUUUGAAGUUAGUUGCCAGCAAUUACUUGUAAUCCAUCUUUCUACAGCUAAGCAAUUAUUAUCCGCAUUGAUUUCCAGGGUACGGUGAUUUUGUAUUUUUAAUAAUAUGUUCAAUUUAAUUCUUAAUUUACCUAGAAUUAAGUUUUUCUGACACCAAAAUAACUACAUGUCACCUGCAUGUGGAAUUUCUUCUCUUGGGCAGUGGCAGGGGUUUCUCAUCGGCUCACCUGCUUGCAUUUAAAGAACGACGACUGCCGUACAGGAUAUCAAGAAAUGAGAAAACAAAAUAAUUUCUUAUUGAAUCUCAAGUACAAAACAUUUUAGUACAUCAGACAGCCAGAGAGAGGUUAAAAGAAUAGCUCAGAAGCAGAUGCCUCGGUGAGCUUCAUCAAUGACAGUUGCAAACUAUAAUUUGAGUUUGAGCCUGAGCCUGAGCCUGAGCCUGAACUUGUGACUCAAAAUUCACUACCAACUCCUGCAUCAAAUGGCCUGAUGCUGUUUGCCAGUUCCAUUUCUUUGGAUGAAACUAGUUAGAUGACCAUUGAAUUCAGCAGAUCCAUAAAUGUGUCCCAUUUUUGCUCUUUUUGUCUCCAAGUAUCUCUUAUUCUCCUUGGUGAUUGGUGUCAGCAAGGGAACUCUGCCUGCAAUGCUCAAUCCGUAACCUUUGAGUC